CCCUCGAGAUGAGACCCCCCACUGGGGAAGCCAGGUAAGGUGUCCUGGAGAUGACAGGGUAGAUAGGCCGGAGGUGGAAGCCCCGAGAGGGGUGCAGCUGACCGGUACUAAUACACCGAGGCCUUGUCCUUA
RNAcentral lists this ribosomal RNA (132 nucleotides) under Acetomicrobium hydrogeniformans. Its description in RNAcentral is "partial 23S ribosomal RNA". It matches the Rfam family "Bacterial large subunit ribosomal RNA", at positions 2796 to 2925 of the family's 2925-position model. The record is from RNAcentral. Lineage: Bacteria; Thermotogati; Synergistota; Synergistia; Synergistales; Acetomicrobiaceae.